CUUACGACCGCCCAACAAUAAUGAAAAGCCAACCAGCCCACCGGUAACAAUCAUAAUGAUUGAAUAGA
Molecule: non-coding RNA, 68 nt
Filed under: Escherichia coli VR50
Lineage: Bacteria; Pseudomonadati; Pseudomonadota; Gammaproteobacteria; Enterobacterales; Enterobacteriaceae
Source: RNAcentral